GCCCCCUCCCUUGGUCGCCGGCUGUUGGUCCUUUUGUCAGUCUGCGUCUGGGGAGGGGGCCA
RNAcentral lists this microRNA precursor (62 nucleotides) under Bos taurus (domestic cattle). RNAcentral's name for it is "Bta-Mir-2328_pre stem-loop". The record is from RNAcentral. Lineage: Eukaryota; Metazoa; Chordata; Mammalia; Artiodactyla; Bovidae.